Molecule: ribosomal RNA, 609 nt
Filed under: uncultured rumen bacterium
Lineage: Bacteria
Description: bacterial SSU rRNA
Rfam family: Bacterial small subunit ribosomal RNA
Source: RNAcentral
AAUCGUUAAGCAUCCACCUGGGAGUACGCCGCAACGUGAACUCAAGGAAUUGACGGGGCCCGCACAAGCGGAGGAACAUGUGUUAAUUCGAUGAUACGCGAGGAACCUUACCCGGGCUUGAACUGCAGCGGAAGGAUACAGAGAUGUUGACGUCCUUCGGGACCGCUGUGGAGGUGCUGCAUGGUUGUCGUCAGCUCGUGCCGUGAGGUGUCGGCUUAAGUGCCAUAACGAGCGCAACCCUUUUCAUCAGUUGCCAUCAGGUGAUGCUGGGCACUCUGUUGAUACUGCCACCGUAAGGUGUGAGGAAGGUGGGGAUGACGUCAAAUCAGCACGGCCCUUACGUCCGGGGCUACACACGUGUUACAAUGGGGCAUACAGAAGGCAGGAUCAUGGCAACAUGGUUCAAAUCUUUAAAGUGCUCCUCAGUUCGGAUUGGGGUCUGCAACCCGACCCCAUGAAGCUGGAUUCGCUAGUAAUCGCGCAUCAGCCAUGGCGCGGUGAAUACGUUCCCGGGCCUUGUACACACCGCCCGUCAAGCCAUGAAAGCCGGGGGCGCCUGAAGUCCGUGACCGCGAGGGUCGGCCUAGGGUGAAACCGGUGAUUGGGGCU